This 450-nucleotide ribosomal RNA is filed under the name uncultured Leptolinea sp. Its description in RNAcentral is "bacterial SSU rRNA". It matches the Rfam family "Bacterial small subunit ribosomal RNA", at positions 917 to 1381 of the family's 1533-position model. The record is from RNAcentral. Lineage: Bacteria; Bacillati; Chloroflexota; Anaerolineae; Anaerolineales; Anaerolineaceae.
GGGCCCGCACAAGCAGCGGAGCGUGUGGUUAAUUCGAUGUUACACGAAGAACCUUACCAGGGUUUGACAUGCAAGUGGUAGGAAGCCGAAAGGUGACCGACCCUUCGGGGAGCUUGCACAGGUGCUGCAUGGCUGUCGUCAGCUCGUGUCGUGAGAUGUUCGGUUAAGUCCGCUAACGAGCGCAACCCUCGCUGUGUGUUAUAUGUGUCACACGGGACUGCCGGUCUUAAGCCGGAGGAAGGUGGGGAUGAUGUCAAGUCAGCAUGGCCUUUAUAUCCUGGGCUACACACACGCUACAAUGGUCAGCACAAUAGGUAGCCAAGCCGCGAGGUGGAGCCAAUCCUCAAAGCUGGCCUCAGUUCAGAUCGCAGGCUGCAACCCGCCUGCGUGAAGCCGGAGUUGCUAGUAACCGCAGGUCAGCUAUACUGCGGUGAAUACGUUCCGGGGCUU